This 201-nucleotide unclassified non-coding RNA is filed under the name Hevea brasiliensis (rubber tree). The record is from RNAcentral. Lineage: Eukaryota; Viridiplantae; Streptophyta; Magnoliopsida; Malpighiales; Euphorbiaceae.
UUCCGUGUUAGUCGCUACUUUACUUCACUCGUCUGGUUUAUGUAAAAGCUGUCAUUGUUGUUGUUGUGUUGGGGCUGUUGUGUUGUUAAAAUGAUUAACUGAAUCUUAGCAACUUUUGAGUGCGUUGUGUCAUUUUUGUUUAUUUUCUCUAGCAGCCUCUAAGUCUGUUUUUGCUUGGGAUAUGCUACCAUAAGUUUGCGG